Molecule: ribosomal RNA, 503 nt
Filed under: Myroides odoratimimus
Lineage: Bacteria; Pseudomonadati; Bacteroidota; Flavobacteriia; Flavobacteriales; Flavobacteriaceae
Description: bacterial SSU rRNA
Rfam family: Bacterial small subunit ribosomal RNA
Source: RNAcentral
UAGAGUUUGAUCCUGGGAAGGAUGAACGCUAGCGGCAGGCCUAACACAUGCAAGUCGAGGGGUAUAAGAAGCUUGCUUUUUAGAGACCGGCGCACGGGUGAGUAACGCGUAUGCAACCUACCUUAUACAGGGGAAUAGCCCGAAGAAAUUCGGAUUAAUGCUCCAUGGUUUAUCGAUAUGGCAUCGUAUUGAUAAUAAAGAUUUAUCGGUGUAAGAUGGGCAUGCGUAUCAUUAGCUAGUUGGUGUGGUAACGGCAUACCAAGGCAACGAUGAUUAGGGGUCCUGAGAGGGAGAUCCCCCACACUGGUACUGAGAUACGGACCAGACUCCUACGGGAGGCAGCAGUGAGGAAUAUUGGUCAAUGGAGGCAACUCUGAACCAGCCAUGCCGCGUGCAGGAUGACGGUCCUAUGGAUUGUAAACUCCUUUCACCAUCGACGAAGGGUUUCUGACGGUAGAUGGAGAAGAAGCACCGGCUAACUACGUGCCAGCAGCCGCGGUAAU